CCCUCUAAGGCAAGCCUGGGGAAGUCUUGAUGCCUUAAUCGGACGGCUGCGAGCUGCUUAUGAGGAACAUGGAGGAUCAUCGGACACAAAUCCUUUUGGAAAUGGAGCUAUUCGUGUUUAUUUGCGUGAAGUGAGGGAGUGUCAAGCUAAGGCAAGAGGGAUUCCAUACAAGAAGAAAAAGAAGAAGAAGAAUCAAAUCAAGCCAAGAGAAGAUGCAAAGCCCUCGAUGCAGACAGCUUAAUAUCAACAACUCCUUUGGCUUCUGCAGAUGAAUGGUAAUAAUUCUGCCUUAGAGGAAUUUCACACAAACACACACAAAUAAGAAUUUUACAUGCAUCUUCAUACACAAACAUCUACAUGAUCAGUGGUGUUGUAGCUUGAUUUUCUCAGAAAUUUUCUGAUUAACAGAGGCAAAAUGUACAGCUAUCUUUAUCUAAACAACAAGCAAAACAAAUCAAAUUCCUACUUAAUUAUAAAUCGAUUCCUGAAAAGGGAUUAUGACUAUUGAAUUAGAUGAUCAAACCUGUUUGUAUGGCGUCAUAAAACCCUAAACCCACCUCGCAAAACCCUAAUCCAGGCAUCGUUGUGUGUGUAUGGAGUGAAGAAGAGUGGGUUUUAGAGCCUGAGAUUGUAUGGGAUCGAUAAUCUAUGAUUGGGGUGAAAGAAAGAAAGAAAAGAGUCUCUCUCUCAAAUCAUGCAAAACACUGUUUAUAAUGUUUUCCAAAUUAAAUAAAUCUAAGUUGAUUACUUUUUUUUUUUUCUCUCUUGUUUUUGUUUCUUUUUUGAUUCUCUCUGAUUUUCGUGCUCCCCAUGAAGGACCAUGUGAUA
Molecule: long non-coding RNA, 828 nt
Filed under: Manihot esculenta (cassava)
Lineage: Eukaryota; Viridiplantae; Streptophyta; Magnoliopsida; Malpighiales; Euphorbiaceae
Description: long non-coding RNA (MESC_LNC009482)
Source: RNAcentral